RNAcentral lists this ribosomal RNA (253 nucleotides) under uncultured bacterium. RNAcentral's name for it is "partial 16S ribosomal RNA". It matches the Rfam family "Bacterial small subunit ribosomal RNA", at positions 524 to 776 of the family's 1533-position model. The record is from RNAcentral.
UACGUAGGGUGCAAGCGUUGUCCGGAAUUAUUGGGCGUAAAGAGCUCGUAGGCGGUUUGUCGCGUCUGCUGUGAAAACCCGAGGCUCAACCUCGGGCCUGCAGUGGGUACGGGCAGACUAGAGUGCGGUAGGGGAGAUUGGAAUUCCUGGUGUAGCGGUGGAAUGCGCAGAUAUCAGGAGGAACACCGGUGGCGAAGGCGGGUCUCUGGGCCGAUACUGACGCUGAGGAGCGAAAGCGUGGGGAGCGAACAGG